AAGGUUAUUCUAACAAGUCUGAUACAGUCGUGAUAUAACAAGAAUGUUACAAGGUUGACGACACAAGUUUGUAUUACAACAAUAUUGUUAUAUCAUGACUGUAUCGGACUUGUUGGAACAAUCUU
Molecule: non-coding RNA, 125 nt
Organism: Paramuricea clavata
Lineage: Eukaryota; Metazoa; Cnidaria; Anthozoa; Malacalcyonacea; Plexauridae
Source: the annotation of a GenBank genome assembly